Molecule: ribosomal RNA, 410 nt
Filed under: uncultured bacterium
Lineage: Bacteria
Description: bacterial SSU rRNA
Rfam family: Bacterial small subunit ribosomal RNA
Source: RNAcentral
CAGGCCUAACACAUGCAAGUCGAACGAGAAAGUUGGCUUCGGCCGAUGAGUAAAGUGGCGCACGGGUGAGUAACGCGUGGAUAAUCUGCCCUUUAGUUUGGAAUAACGUACCGAAAGGUGCGCUAAUACCGGAUAAUACUGAAUGACUACUGUCGUUUAGUCAAAGAAGGCUUCUGUUUACAUGCUUUUGCUGAAGGAUGAGUCCGCGUACCAUUAGCUAGUUGGUAGGGCAAAGGCCUACCAAGGCGACGAUGGUUAGCUGGUCUGAGAGGAUGAUCAGCCACACUGGAACUGAGACACGGUCCAGACUCCUACGGGAGGCAGCAGUGAGGAAUAUUGCGCAAUGGGGGCAGCCCUGACGCAGCAACGCCGCGUGGGUGAGGAAGGUUUUCGGACCGUAAAAGCUCUGU